This 350-nucleotide unclassified non-coding RNA is filed under the name soil metagenome. RNAcentral describes it as "partial contains 5.8S ribosomal RNA, internal transcribed spacer 2, and large subunit ribosomal RNA". The stretch from base 5 to 119 matches the Rfam family "5.8S ribosomal RNA", at positions 40 to 154 of the family's 154-position model. The record is from RNAcentral.
GAUGAGAACGUAGCGAAAUGCGAUAAGUAAUGUGAAUUGCAGAAUUCAGUGAAUCAUCGAAUCUUUGAACGCACAUUGCGCCCGCCAGUAUUCUGGCGGGCAUGCCUGUUCGAGCGUCAUUACAACCCUCAGGCCCCCGGGCCUGGCGUUGGGGAUCGGCGGAAGCCCCCUGUGGGCACACGCCGUCCCUCAAAUACAGUGGCGGUCCCGCCGCAGCUUCCAUUGCGUAGUAGCUAACACCUCGCAACUGGAGAGCGGCGCGGCCAUGCCGUAAAACACCCAACUUCUGAAUGUUGACCUCGAAUCAGGUAGGAAUACCCGCUGAACUUAAGCAUAUCAAUAAGCGAGGA